UAUCAACUCUGCGGCUUGAGCUUGCUUUUGCGGCACAGUUGAUAGCGCGCUGGACUUUGGGCUUUCGAGACCUGCUCCCUGCUAUUUCAUUACAUUAGACUGAAUGUUCAGUCAAAAUUGGCCUGAAUGGGGAUCCAGAGGCCAGGAAUUUCUAUUAUUAAAAGGAAACAUUUUCAUUAUUUAAUAAAUGGCCUUAAUAUUGGUUCCAAAGUAGUACGAGUCAAAUGAGUAAACAAGCUGCACAAAUGAAAACGUGGCACUGACGCUCCCAAUGGAUUGAUGUUUCAGCAUUGCCUCAAUGAAGAGUUCGGCGUUCGACUACUUAUGUGCGACAUGCCUUCUAUGAGCUUAUAAUAUAAACAACAAGGCUAAAGGUACGGUUUACUUCACUUUUAAUCAUGUCAAUCAUGUCAGCACAUGUAACAGCAGUUUACAGCCCAUUUUUAAAUUCUUAUUCUUCCUCUCCCCAAUUCACUUAAACUAUAUUUCUUUAUUUCCCAUGGGCUUCACCAGAGUACCCCCUAGUGGCUGGAAUACAACUGUAUUAAGCCCCUUACAACACCCCCCCAGCAAAAACGAAAUGUUGUCCCAAACAUUUCACUGGCCUCAAAACAAACAGAGGAUGUAAGUACUGGUCAUGAGAACAACUGAGAAAACUGGCCUAACAGCCAUAUAACUAUCUAGACAUGUCCAGUCUACCUUUAUGGGCAACGACGCAACCCCCACUAAACAUUAUCACACUGUGAUUAGUAAAGGUAACAAGAAAAUAUAUACACAUCUGAACAUCUGCUAGUUGUUAUCCUGAUAAGAGCUUGGCAGCCCUAAAGCGUUAUAGGUUAGAAUGUCUCUGGGCCUCCUCUGCUGGGCUGAACGGCGGGGCAAGGUCAUGGGUGACCCCAAUGAAUCAGUGUCCACUUCAUCAUGAGAUGAUUGAGUCUCUGAGCCCUCAGCUGUUUCCAUAUUUACCCCCGUCCUCUCCAGGCUGUCUCUGAGGACUGGCUGGCACUCCUUCACAGUGAAGUUUCUAUCAGUCUGACCCCGUUCCUCACUAUUAUCUGAUACUAGCUAUGUGCUACUCUGUCUGCUCUCUUCAUCCCUACGUGGCCUAUUGAUGAAAACUGGAUAAGAAUCCUCAUCUGAGCUCUCAGACUCAGCGCUCUCCCCAUUUUUCUACUUUUGCUGGGGUGGUUCCCUUCUCCACAGACCCCUACAGGGUGUUUCAACAAGUUCCUCAAAUGGUAGGGAAUUACACGACAUGAGCACACUGCGAUGCAGAACCCAGGCCCUGCCUGUACCCCUCUCGGGUUUGACCUUAAGAACGGCUGUCGUCACCUUUCCUGGUUUACCACCACGUGUAUUUGGUCCUCCCAGUGUGAUUUGAGCUUUCCUGGCCCCCCACGUUCUGACAUGUUCCUCACCAGUACACGAUCCCCAGAGACCAGAACCUAACUCAUUUUCUUCCGAUCGUAGUAGGCUUUUCCCUUUGCUGUUGAUUUCUCCAUGUUUCUAAUGGCAAUGUCAUAGGCUUCCGUCAUCUGUUGCUGCCACUUCUUAGCGUAAUCCUGGUAUGAUUUCUCCUGUUCCUUUAUCUGUCAACAGGUAGCAGUGGAGCCCUUCGAAAUAGCAGGAAAUAUGGGGAAAACCCAAUAGCAUCACUGGUGGUACAAAUAUAUGCAUGAACGACCUUGUUCAGAUAAUCACCCCAGUUGGCCUUUUUCUCUUCAUCUAGUGUGCACAACAUUGACAACAGUGUACGGUUAAAUCUCUCCACCGGAAUCCCCUGUGGAUGAUAUGGAGUGUAGGUAGGGGUAGUCAGGUGGCCAGCCGUGGAAAAAUGCUUAUUGAAAUUAUCGAUUAUCGUAGAUUUAUCUGUGGUGAAAGUGUUUCCUAUCCUCAGUGCAGUGGGCGGCUGGGAGGAGGUGCUAUUAUUCUCCAUGGACUUUACAGUGUCCCAAAACUUUUUGGAAUUAGUGCUACAGGAAGCAAAUUUCUUUUUGAAAAAGCUAGCCUUAGUUUUCCUAACUGACUGAGUAUAUUGGUUCCUGACUUCCCUGAAAAGUUGCAUAUCGCGGGGGGCUAUUCGAUGCUAAUGCAGAACGCCACAGGAUGUUUUUGUGCUGGUAAAAGGGCAGUCAAGUCUGGGGUGAACCAAGGGCUAUAUCUGUUCUUAGUUUCAAAUUUUUUGAAUGGGGCAUGCUUAUUUAAGAUGGAGAGGAAAGCACUUUUGAAGAGCAACCAGGCAUCCUCUACUGACGGGAUGAGGUCAAUAUCCUUCCAGAAUACCCGGGCCAGGUCGAUUAGAAAGGCCUGCUUGCUGAAGUGUUUUAGGGAGCAUUUGACAGUGAUGAGGGGUGGUCGUUUGACCACGGUUCCAGUACGCACGCAGGCAAUGAGGCAGUGAUUGCUGAGAUCCUGGUUGAAGACAGCAGAGGUGUAUUUAGAGGGCAGGUUGGUCAGGAUGAUAUCUAAGAGGGUGCCCAUUGUUACGGAUUUAGGGUUGUACCUUGUAGGUUCCUUGAUGAUUUGUGUGAGAUUGAGGGCAUCUAGCUUAGAUUGUAGGACGGCCGGGGUGUUAAGCAUGUCCCAGUUUAGGUCACCUAACAGUACGAACUCUGAAGAUAGAUGGGGGGUGAUCAAUUCACAUAUGGUGUCCAGGGCACAGCUGGGGCCCGAGGGGGGUCUAUAACAAGCGGCAACGGUGAGGGACUUGUUUCUGGAAAGGUGGACUUUUAGAAGUAGAAGCUCAAAUUGUUUCGGCACAGACCUGGAUAGUAUGACAGAACUCUGCAGGCUAUCUCUGCAGUACAUUGCAACUCCACCCCCUUUGGCAGUUCUAUCUUGUCAGAAAAUGUUAUAGUUAGGGAUGGAAAUGUCAGGAUUUUUGGUGGCCUUCCUAAGCCAGGAUUCAGACAUGGCUAGGGCAUCCGGGUUGGCGAAGUGUGCUAAAGCAGUGAAUAAAACAAACUUAGGGAGGAGGCUUCUAAUGUUAACAUGCAUGAAACCAAUGCUUGAAACCAAGGAAUAGAUUCAAGGCAUAAUGUACAGACGGGUAUGGUAGGAUGUGAGUACAGCGGAGGUAAACCUAGGCAAUGAGUGACGAUGAGAGAGGUUUUGUCUCUAGAGGCACCAUUUAAGCCAGGUGCGGUCACCACGUGUGUGGGGGGGUGAAACAUAAGGGCUAGCUUAGGCAUAUUGAGCAGGGCUGGAGGCUCUACAGUGAAAUAAGACAACAAUUACUAACCAAAACAGCAAUAGACAAGACAUAUUGACAUUAGGGAGAGGCAUGUGUAGCCGAGUGAUCAUAGGGUCCAGUGAGUAACUAGGCGAGCUGGUGGCACGGCAAUUCAGACAGCUAGCAGGCCGGGGCUAGCAGAUGUGCCUCAGGGGAAUGUCGCAACGGGAGAGUCUGUUGAAACCCCCUCGGAUGGUUACGUCGGCAGACCAGUCGUGAUGGAUCAGCCGGGCUCCGUGUCGGCAGUUACAGUUGAAGUCGGAAGUUUACAUACACCUUAGCCAAAUACAUUAAAACUCAGUUUUUCACAAUUCCUGACAUUUAAUCUUAGAAAAAAUCCCUGUUUUAGGUCAGUUAGGAUCACCACUUUAUUUUAAGAAUGUGAAAUAUCAGAAUAAUAUUAGAGAAAAUGAUUUACUUCAGCUUUUAUUUCUUUCAUCACAUUCCCAGUGGGUUAGAAGUUUACAUACACUCAAUUAGUAUUUGGUAGCUUUGCCUUUAAAUUGUUUAACUUAGGUCAAAUGUUUUGGGUAGCCUUCCACAAGCUUCCCACAAUAAGUUGGAUGAAUUUUGGCCCAUUCCUCCUGACAGAGCUGGUGUAACUGAGUCAGGUUUGUAGGCCUCCUUGCUCGUACACUCUUUUUCAGUUCUGCCCACAAAUUUUAUAUAGGACUGAAGUCAGGGCUUUGUGAUGGCCACUCCAAUACCUUGACUUUUUUGUACUUAACCUGUUG
Molecule: long non-coding RNA, 3966 nt
Filed under: Salmo salar (Atlantic salmon)
Lineage: Eukaryota; Metazoa; Chordata; Actinopteri; Salmoniformes; Salmonidae
Description: lncRNA (ENSSSAG00000083668.1)
Source: RNAcentral